GACAGAGGGUGCAAACGUUGUUCGGAAUUACUGGGCGUAAAGCGCGUGUAGGCGGCUAUGCAAGUCGGAUGUGAAAGCCCUCGGCUCAACCGGGGAAGUGCACCCGAAACUGCAAAGCUAGAGUCUCGGAGAGGAUCGUGGAAUUCUCGGUGUAGAGGUGAAAUUCGUAGAUAUUAGGAAGAACACCAGUGGCGAAGGCGGCUCACUGGCUCGGUACUGACGCUGAGGCGCGAAAGCGUGGGGAGCAAACAGG
This 253-nucleotide ribosomal RNA is filed under the name uncultured bacterium. RNAcentral describes it as "partial 16S ribosomal RNA". It matches the Rfam family "Bacterial small subunit ribosomal RNA", at positions 524 to 776 of the family's 1533-position model. The record is from RNAcentral.